GAGUUUGAUCGUGGCUCAGAGCGAACGCUGGCGGCAGGCCUAACACAUGCAAGUCGAACGAACUCUUCGGAGUUAGUGGCGGACGGGUGAGUAACACGUGGGAACGUGCCUUUUGGUUCGGAAUAACUCAGGGAAACUUGUGCUAAUACCGAAUGUGCCCUUCGGGGGAAAGAUUUAUCGCCAUUAGAGCGGCCCGCGUCUGAUUAGCUAGUUGGUGAGGUAAAGGCUCACCAAGGCGACGAUCAGUAGCUGGUCUGAGAGGAUGAUCAGCCACAUUGGGACUGAGACACGGCCCAAACUCCUACGGGAGGCAGCAGUGGGGAAUCUUGCGCAAUGGGCGAAAGCCUGACGCAGCCAUGCCGCGUGAAUGAUGAAGGUCUUAGGAUUGUAAAAUUCUUUCACCGGGGACGAUAAUGACGGUACCCGGAGAAGAAGCCCCGGCUAACUUCGUGCCAGCCGCCGCAGUAAC
This 469-nucleotide ribosomal RNA is filed under the name uncultured microorganism. RNAcentral describes it as "bacterial SSU rRNA". It matches the Rfam family "Bacterial small subunit ribosomal RNA", at positions 9 to 524 of the family's 1533-position model. The record is from RNAcentral.